This 876-nucleotide ribosomal RNA is filed under the name Oudemansiella platensis. RNAcentral describes it as "eukaryotic LSU rRNA". It matches the Rfam family "Eukaryotic large subunit ribosomal RNA", at positions 33 to 897 of the family's 3401-position model. The record is from RNAcentral. Lineage: Eukaryota; Fungi; Basidiomycota; Agaricomycetes; Agaricales; Physalacriaceae.
AGUGAGCAUAUCAAUGAGCGGAGGAGAAGAAACUAACAACGGAUUCCCCUCGUAACUGCGAGUGAAGAGGGAAAAGCUCAAAUUUAAAAUCUGGCAGCUUCGCUGUCCGAGUUGUAAUUUAGAGAAGUGUUGCCCUUGCUGGACCGUGUACAAGUUUCCUGGAACGGAACGUCAUAGAGGGUGAGAAUCCCGUCUUUGACACGGACUCCCAGUAUGUUGUGGUGCGCUCUCGAAGAGUCGUGUUGUUUGGGAAUGCAGCACUAAAUGGGUGGUAAAUUCCAUCUAAAGCUAAAUAUUGGCGAGAGACCGAUAGCAAACAAGUACCGUGAGGGAAAGAUGAAAAGAACUUUGGAAAGAGAGUUAAACAGUACGUGAAAUUGUUGAAAGGGAAACGCUUGAAGUCUAGUCGCAUCGGUUGGGAAUCAGUCUUGCUUCUGCUUGAUGUAUGUCACAAUCGAUGGGUCAGCAUCAGUUUUGACCGUUGGAUAAAGGUUGGGGGAAUGUGGCAUCUUCGGAUGUGUUAUAGCCUCUGAUUGUAUACAACGGUUGGGACUGAGGAACUCAGCACGCCGCAAGGCCGGGUACUUGUACCACGUUCGUGCUUAGGAUGCUGGCAUAAUAGCUUUAAUCGACCCGUCUUGAAACACGGACCAAGGAGUCUAACAUGCCUGCGAGUGUUUGGGUGGAAAACCCGAGCGCGUAAUGAAAGUGAAAGUUGAGAACUCAUCAGAGUGCAUCGACGCCCGGACCAGACGUUUUCUGACGGAUCCGCGGUAGAGCAUGUAUGUUGGGACCCGAAAGAUGGUGAACUAUGCCUGAAUAGGGUGAAGCCAGAGGAAACUCUGGUGGAGGCUCGUAGCGAUUCUGACGUGCAAA